RNAcentral lists this non-coding RNA (103 nucleotides) under Leucoagaricus sp. SymC.cos. RNAcentral's name for it is "Eukaryotic small subunit ribosomal RNA". It matches the Rfam family "Eukaryotic small subunit ribosomal RNA", at positions 1502 to 1604 of the family's 1831-position model. The record is from Rfam by way of RNAcentral. Lineage: Eukaryota; Fungi; Basidiomycota; Agaricomycetes; Agaricales; Agaricaceae.
ACUGACAGAGCCAGUGAGUUUUUCACCUUGGCCAGAAGGUCUGGGUAAUCUUGUGAAACUCUGUCAUGCUGGGGAUAGAGCAUUGCAAUUAUUGCUCUUCAAC